RNAcentral lists this ribosomal RNA (628 nucleotides) under uncultured Russulaceae. RNAcentral describes it as "LSU rRNA". It matches the Rfam family "Eukaryotic large subunit ribosomal RNA", at positions 47 to 649 of the family's 3401-position model. Lineage: Eukaryota; Fungi; Basidiomycota; Agaricomycetes; Russulales; Russulaceae. The record is from RNAcentral.
UAAGCGGAGGAAAAGAAACUAACAAGGAUUCCCCUAGUAACUGCGAGUGAAGCGGGAAAAGCUCAAAUUUAAAAUCUGGUGGUCUUUGGCCAUNCGAGUUGCAAUCUAGAGAAGCGUCUUCCGCGCUGGACCGUGCACAAGUCUCCUGGAACGGAGCGUCGUAGAGGGUGAGAAUCCCGUCUUUGGCAUGGACACACCAGGGCUUUUGUGAUGCGCUCUCGAAGAGUCGAGUUGUUUGGGAAUGCAGCUCAAAAUGGGUGGUGAACUCCAUCUAAAGCUAAAUAUUGGCGAGAGGCCGAUAGCGAACAAGUACCGUGAGGGAAAGAUGAAAAGCACUUUGGAAAGAGAGUGAAACAGUACGUGAAAUUGUUGAAAGGGAAACGCUUGAGGUCAGUCGCGUCGACCGAGACUCAGCCUCGCCUCGGCUUGGCGUACUUCUCGGCCCGACGGGUCAGCAUCAAUUUCGCCUCUUGGAUAAUGGCGAGGGAAACGUGACACCUUUACGGUGUGUUAUAGUCUCUCGUCGCAUGCAAGGGUCGGGAUUGAGGAACUCAGCACGCGCCUUUGGGCGUCGGGGCUUUGCCUACGAUACGUGCUUAGGAUGUUGGCGUAAUGGCUUUAAACGACC